UGGGGAAUUUUGCACAAUGGGGGAAACCCUGAUGCAGCGACGCCGCGUGAUUUAGAAGGCCUUCGGGUUGUAAAAAUCUUUUCUAUGGGAAGAAAAUGACAGUACCAUAGGAAUAAGGACCGGCUAAUUACGUGCCAGCAGCCGCGGUAAUACGUAAGGUCCGAGCGUUGUCCGGAAUCAUUGGGCGUAAAGGGUACGUAGGCGGGUAAGCAAGUUAGAAGUGAAAUCCUAUAGCUCAACUAUAGUAAGCUUUUAAAACUGCUCAUCUUGAGGUAUGGAAGGGAAAGUGGAAUUCCUAGUGUAGCGGUGAAAUGCACAGAUAUUCGGAGGAAUACCGGUGGCGAAGGCGACUUUCUGGCCAUAACCUGACGCUGAGGUACGAAAGCGUGGGUAGCAAACAGG
RNAcentral lists this ribosomal RNA (402 nucleotides) under bacterium. RNAcentral describes it as "partial 16S ribosomal RNA". It matches the Rfam family "Bacterial small subunit ribosomal RNA", at positions 355 to 776 of the family's 1533-position model. The record is from RNAcentral.